This 460-nucleotide long non-coding RNA is filed under the name Salmo salar (Atlantic salmon). RNAcentral describes it as "lncRNA (ENSSSAG00000109331.1)". The record is from RNAcentral. Lineage: Eukaryota; Metazoa; Chordata; Actinopteri; Salmoniformes; Salmonidae.
GGACACAGUCUUUGACAUUUGCGUUUGCGCACGCCAUGAAGACAUUACGCCCCUGCUAAAAUCGGUUUCCUAUUGAACAUACUUCUUUCCGUAAGAAAUAGUAUAGUUUGAUUACAUUUUAGGGUAUCUGAGGAGUAAAUAGACAUGUAUUUUGACUUGUGAACCAAAGUUUAGGGGUAGAUUUUUGGAUUCCUUUCUCUGCAUGUUGAACGAGUGGAUUACUCAAAUUGAUGGCGCCAACUAAACAGACUUUUUGGAAUAUAAAGAACUAUUUUAUCUAACAAAAUGACACUACAUGUUAUAGCUGGCACCCUUUGGAUGACAAAUCAGAAGAACAUUUUCAAAAAGGAGCUGGCUACUGUACCGGAAUACUUCCAGCAAUUGUGCUAAGCUGACAAUAUGCUAACUUCACUAUCCAAACUGCAGACAGAGACAUAAAAAAUGGUAUCCAUGUUUCUGG